CCCUCCUACGCUCACCAUUUAACUGUUUGCAUGUUGCUUUAAGGUUUGUAACACAUACCUUUUAAGUUUUCAAAAUCCUAGAGAGGACAGAGAGAACCUGAGAAAAUGUGAGGAGAACAAUGAAAAAUGCAUGGUUUCUACAGUGAAACAUGGUGGUGGCAGACAGUGUCCUUCUGUGGGGUUACAUGAGCGCUGCUAGUUGGGGAGCUGCAUUUCUUUUAUGGUAUUAUAGAUUCACAGAUGUACUGCUCUAUAUUGAAAGAGAAGAUGCUACCAUCACUCCAUGCCCUUGGUCAUCAUACAGUUUCCUAACGUGACAAUGAUCCAAAACACACAUCUAAGGCCACUGUUUCACCAUUUCUGAAGAAGAACAGGGUUAAAGUGAUGCAGUGGCUACGUAUGUCUCCUGAUCUGAACCCAAUCGAACACCUAUGGGGAAUUCUGAAGAGACAAGUUGAAGAGACAAGUUGAGCAUCACUCUCCAUCCAGCAUCCAGGCUCUUAAAGAGGUCGUUCUUGAAAAUUGGAAAAAGAUAGAUGUUGCAAUAUGUCGCCAACUUGUUUAUUCCAUGCCUAGAAGACUUGGUGCUGUCCAUACAAAUCAUAGAGGUCAUACAAAAUAAUAGAUGUAGUAGUUUUUGUUGUGUAUUCAUUUGUGCAUCACCUACUUUGAGUAAGCUUAAGGUGCAUAAGGGGCAUGAUAAAUCGACCCAUAGUGUAAAUAGUACAACAGUAAAUCAGAGAACUUACUGUAAAACUGUUUCCCCUAGAUGUUUUUCAAAUUACUUGUUAUACCAGCUGCAGAGUAUAAAAUGUACAUGAAAUUGUC
Molecule: long non-coding RNA, 828 nt
Organism: Bombina bombina (fire-bellied toad)
Lineage: Eukaryota; Metazoa; Chordata; Amphibia; Anura; Bombinatoridae
Exons: 2
Source: RefSeq, a predicted model, not a curated record